AACGAACGCUGGCGGCAGGCCUAACACAUGCAAGUCGAACGCUCUAGCAAUAGAGAGUGGCGCACGGGUGCGUAACGCGUGGGAAUAUGCCCUUGACUACGGAACAACGUCGGGAAACUGACGCUAAUACCGUAUAAUGUCUUCGGACCAAAGAUGUAUCGGUCAAGGAUUAGCCAGCGUCUGAUUAGCUAGUUGGUGAGGUAACGGCUCACCAAGGAGACGAUCAGUAGCUGGUCUGAGAGGAUGAUCAGCCACACUGGGACUGAGACACGGCCCAGACUCCUACGGGAGGCAGCAGUGAGGAAUAUUGGACAAUGGAGGCAACUCUGAUCCAGCCAUGCCGCGUGAGUGACGAAGGCCUUCGGGUUGUAAAGCUCUUUCAGAUGCGAAGAUAAUGACGGUAACAUCAGAAGAAGCCCCGGCUAAAUUCGUGCCAGCCGCCGCCGUAA
This 449-nucleotide ribosomal RNA is filed under the name uncultured bacterium. Its description in RNAcentral is "partial 16S ribosomal RNA". It matches the Rfam family "Bacterial small subunit ribosomal RNA", at positions 29 to 523 of the family's 1533-position model. The record is from RNAcentral.